UCCCCUUUCACGUUGUGGGGCCAGUGUUCUUUUGCUAUUUGCAGUAAACCUUGCCGCUGGUCACUUUGGGUCCACACUGCGUUUAUGAGGUGUAACACUCACUGUGAAGGUCUGCAGCUUCACUCCUGAAGCCAGGGAGAGCACGAACCCACCAUGGGGGAACAAACAACUCCAGACGUGCUGCCUUAAGAGCUGUAACACUCGCCGUAAAGGUUUGCAGGUUCACUCCUGAGCCAGCGAGACCAUGAACCCCCCAGAAGGAAGAAACUCGGAGCACAUCCGAACAUCAGAAGGAGCAAACGCCAGACACGCUGCGUUUAAGAACAGCAACACUCACCACGAGAGUCUGCGGCUUCAUUCUUGAAGUCAGUGAGACCAAGAACCCACCAAUUCCAGACACAAUAUCUUACUAGAGAAGUUUUAAUUUUGCUUUUUUUCAGAUAUCUCAGGGAUUCACUGCUCUGGAAUCAAUGUUUACAUUAAUUUUUUGGCUUAAUAACUCCUGCACCUGUGAGCAAUGAAAAUUUGCACUGCCUGUUGGUACAUGGUUUAUAGGCUUGGGAUUUGGAUUUUUUUUUUAACUGUAGACUUUUAUCUUUCUAUUCAGACCCCAUAAUAGAGAUAAACGUUCUGUGCCUUACCAUUUACUUUUCUCAGCCUGUGGCAAGAAGUUUGAAGUUUGUUGGGACACCUUUUCAUCAAGGAGAACUUGGCAGAAUCUAGUGCUGGUCCUGGAGCUAAGUCUUGAGAAGACCUGGAGGCUUCCACUUCUGCGCUUUUGGAAAUUCUGAGCUUCCGUGUUAGAAGAGUUGCUACCCUUCUGGAGAUACUACAUGGAAAGACCUCAUGAAGAGGCCAUAUGGAAAGGGAGAAGCCUUGUCCAACCAUCUCCACCAAGGUCCCAGGCAUAUGAGAGAGCCAACUUGGACAGUCUGGUCCUGUUGAGCCCCCAGAUGCCCACAGUCUCAGUUGACAACAUGUGGAGCAGAAGAACUGCCCAGAUGAGCCCAGCCAACCCAGUGAAUCAUGAGAAUAAGGAAAUGGUUUUUGCUUAAAGCUUUUGCUUUGAAGUGGUUCCUUAUGCAGCAGUAGAUAUCUGAAACAGGGGGCAUUGAUUAGUGACAUCAAGGCCCUAGGGGAUGGCAGAACUCCCAGAUGGAAGAAAGCUGGAUGUCUGAGUCAUGGCAAGGAGAGCC
RNAcentral lists this long non-coding RNA (1196 nucleotides) under Homo sapiens (human). RNAcentral describes it as "HSALNT0326991". The record is from RNAcentral. Lineage: Eukaryota; Metazoa; Chordata; Mammalia; Primates; Hominidae.